GACGAACGCUGGCGGCGUGCUUAACACAUGCAAGUCGAACGGAAAGGCCCUGCUUGCAGGGUACUCGAGUGGCGAACGGGUGAGUAACACGUGGGUGAUCUGCCCUGCACUUCGGGAUAAGCCUGGGAAACUGGGUCUAAUACCGGAUAGGAGCCAUUUUUAGUGUGAUGGUUGGAAAGUUUUUUCGGGGUAGGAUGAGCUCGCGGCCUAUCAGCUUGUUGGUGGGGUAAUGGCCUACCAAGGCGGCGACGGGUAGCCGGCCUGUGAGGGUGGACGGCCACCUUGGGACUGAGAGACGGCCCAGACUCCUACGGGAGGCAGCAGUGGGGAAUAUUGCACAAUGGGCGCAAGCCUGAUGCAGCGACGCCGCGUGGGGGAUGACGGCCUUCGGGUUGUAAACUCCUUUCGCUAGGGACGAAGCUUUUUGUGACGGUACCUAGACAAGAAGCCCCGGCUAACUACGUG
RNAcentral lists this ribosomal RNA (465 nucleotides) under uncultured bacterium. RNAcentral describes it as "partial 16S ribosomal RNA". It matches the Rfam family "Bacterial small subunit ribosomal RNA", at positions 28 to 507 of the family's 1533-position model. The record is from RNAcentral.